UUUGCCUCUAUACAAUUUUAACAAGAAGGCAUUGGAUCCGGAUCUAACGAUCCAAAGCAUCUAUCUAUGACCAACUCAUAAUUUAUGUUUUAGAGGUAUCACAACUCAAUUGGGAUUAGUCACUACCUUGCAACAUUUUGGGUUUUAAGCAUCGUUAUAUUCUAAACAGUUAACACUACCAUAUCAUCUCUACUAUAGAGAUAAUCAAUUAGAUUAUAAUAAUCUAAUCAUUCAUUAAUAAAGAACAAUGUUUUGUCAAACACAACAUUCAUCCAUCUCUCAUAGUGACGGAAUUAAGUUCCUUAAAAUUGGAAUGUAAAGACAAUCUUUGGUUUUUCCAAUUUCUUUGGUAGUUCAUAUGAGGAAGUAAGUAUGAUCUACUUUCGCAGAGAUCUACAUUUGAUUCACGUUCCGAAUGUGAAGUACUUUCUCUUCUCUCAUUAAUCUUCUA
This 451-nucleotide long non-coding RNA is filed under the name Malus domestica (apple). RNAcentral describes it as "long non-coding RNA (MDOM_LNC015336)". The record is from RNAcentral. Lineage: Eukaryota; Viridiplantae; Streptophyta; Magnoliopsida; Rosales; Rosaceae.